Molecule: unclassified non-coding RNA, 228 nt
Filed under: fungal sp.
Lineage: Eukaryota; Fungi
Description: partial internal transcribed spacer region
Source: RNAcentral
UGACGUACAGCGAUGUCUCCCUGAUGAUCGACGGGGCCUGGACCAAGGGUGCCAACGGCCGGACGAUCCCCGUGAUCAACCCCGCGACCGAAGAGGUCAUUGGCACGGUGGCGCAUGCCGAGAAGGCCGACCUCGAUCGGGCGCUCGAAGCGGCCGAGAAGGGCUUCAGGCAGUGGCGCCAGGUCUCGCCGUUCGACCGCUACAAGGUGAUGAAGAACGCAGCCUGUC